Molecule: long non-coding RNA, 3520 nt
Organism: Mesocricetus auratus (golden hamster)
Lineage: Eukaryota; Metazoa; Chordata; Mammalia; Rodentia; Cricetidae
Exons: 3
Source: RefSeq, a predicted model, not a curated record
UUCAUUGAAGAUUAUUCCCCAUUUUCUCUUCUAAGAUUUUCUGUGGGGUUUUAUUUAUGUUGACAUCUUUGACACUUUUGGACUUAAAUGUUUUUCAAGGGGAUAGACAGAGAUCUAUCUGCAGUCUUCUGCAUGCCUAUAUACAGUUAUGCCAGUACCGUUUGUUGAAGAUGCUUUCUUUUUCCAUCUUAUAAUUUUAGAUUCUUUGUCAAAAAUCAAGUGAUUAUGCAUAUGUUUGUUAAAAUUUGAGUUUUCUAUUCCAUUCCAUUGGUCUACCUGUCUAUUUUUGUGCCAAUACCAAGCUGUUUUCAGGACUAUAACUCUGUAGUAGAGCUUGAAGUUAGGGAUGAUGAUUCCUCAUGAAAUUCCUUUAUUGUAUACGGUAGUUUAGGCUACCCUGGAUCUAUUUAUCCCAUUUAAACUCCACUAGCAUUAUAGGUCACAUAGAGUGGAAUUCCUUUUGAAGUCACGGAUGUAGCCACCAAAUAUCAUUUGUCCUGCUUUUUCAUUGAAAAGACCCCGGCUGUUUGAAUGGCAUCUUGUAAUAUCUGUUUUAACCAUCUCAAUCAUAACCUUUCAGUUCCAAGGUAAACAUGCUAUCUUAAAUGUUAAUGCCUCCAAUUAUUUCCUAUCUCUUCUUUAUUAAUUCUCAGUUACCAGACUCUCAUUCCUACUCGUCUGAUCCUGUUCCUGAAUUCAGAGGAAUACAAGGGGACCCAUUUGGUAUGAAUAUUCCAAAGAAACAGAGAGAAAAUUUUAAUAGUCAAAAUUUCUGAUUUAUUUUUCUGUGAACUGUCACAUUGUUCUCACAGAGUUUUCACGAUUUACUUUCUUAGCUGUGAAAUGGGUGACUCUAAGUAUACUAUUUACAAAAAAGCACUCAAAAGCCAUACUUAAAGCUCGAGGUAACUGUUUACUGUACUUCUUUAGAAAAAAAUGGAAUACGAUGUGAACCUCAGAUGGCUCAUGAUCAGACAAGUUAGCAAGAAUAAAUGCUACAAAAAGUUUUUAUGCAACUAUUAGUGUCAUCAUGAAUGUCCAUUAUGCAGGCCAAAGACUACAGGGGCUUCAUUAGAUUACUUUUCUGUGUCUCCUAAGGCAGAUGGAAACUCACAGUGUUCCUGUGCACUAAUGGACAUGUCAGUAUGGCAAAAGCAGAUGCCAUUUAAUUUCAUUUGGAUUAGUGAACUUGUCCUGCCAUCCAGAUCUCAGGGAACAUGAGACAAUUCCUGAGAAUGGAGCUGGCCAGGCAUUCUCCUUUUUGCCUCAGAUCCACAGGCCCAUAAUCAUAUGGAGCAAAAUUUUAAUUAUAUCGGAAUUAUGGAAUUUCAAUUAUAUGCAUAACAUCACAAGGUGCAAAAAGGCUGCCUCAUCUCAAUUGAAAUAUGCCAAGAGAAUGGGAGUAUGGAACCUAAGCAGGCAAUAAUUUUGCAAUUAAGAACGCUGAGGGUACUCAUCCAACUCUGGUGAUUAUUAAAUAAUGUCAGAAUGAAAUGGAAAAGAGCUACGCAAAGAAGUGGAGCUGAAUGGUCUUGGACAUUGUAAGACGCAGUGCCUGAUCAGAAGCUAAAAUGUUUUCACCUGACCUAUCAUAUGCCUUCCCAAUGGUCUGUCAGCUAAUGCUAUGAAUGCAGGCAGUGAGGAUGAUGGUGAAACGGGUGAAGGGUUAAACUUGUCUAGGGGUGGAAAACAGGUAAAAACAAUUAAAUAUUUUCAUUAUCUCCCCAUUGCAUUAAUUAGCAAUGGCCCGAAAUUAUCAUGCUUGGGUGUUUAGAUGUACAGAAGCUGUGCUUUGCAUUCUGCUGACACUGAUUUGAAACUUUUGGCUCUUCAAAAUUUUCCUUGAUUAAGAAAACUGAUUCUGCUUGAUCCCUUGCAGGAGCCUAAUGCAGAUGGCCAUUUGUCCGAAGCACCCUGAGACCUACCUUCUAGAUGGUCUUUGUCUUCCUGUUAUCCUGGAUGCACACUUGGUAGCCCAGGAAUUUCACCUUCAGUGAUCCAGGAUUCAGUCUUCUAACCCACUCAUUUCACCUUCAGGUAAGUGGAAAGUUCAUGUUAAGUGCCUAGGUCUAUUUUGGAUAUCCACCUUCAAACAUUAGAAAGCAUGACCUUCUAGGAAUGCAGUGACAUAUAAGGCAUACAUCUUGGUCUCUCCCUUAAUUUGGGGAAUCCAAUAGGACUUACACCAUGAGAAAAGGUUGGUAAUUCAAACUGCCUUAUCUUGUAGAAUUCCAAGUAAUAAGUACUGGGAAACAGAGCAGUGACUGUUCGUGGAGGUGGGACAGAAGAAUUGGGUCGGGAAUUUAAGGAUUUUUCCUUGCAUAGCUCAUUGAUAGUUGAAUGUGAUCAUCAGGUCCUUGCCAUGGAGUAUCUAUCUACCUACAAUACUGAUUGUCACUGCCAGGGCAAGAGCUUCAUAUUCUCCCUGGGUCAGGAGGGAGACAUGUUCCAAACUUGUAUAGACAAUGCUCACGAAUAUUCACUAUGCAAGACCUAAACAGCAGGCAGAUCAAUAUGUUACUUUCUGGGGUUCAUGAGGCAGACAGACACCAACAGUAAUCAAGUGCACAAAUGUACAUAUCAGUUAUACAAACACAGAUAAUGUUUACUUUCUGAGCAUUAGUGAUCUUGUCCUUCCAUGCAGGCUUCAAACUAAUUGAGGUAAUUCAAAAGGGUGCAUCGGGCCAGGAAUUACCCUCUUUGCCUAGAUGAACAGGAUCAUCAAUAUGUAGAGACAAACUCACGACACAGCAGUAGCACAGUAUUUCAAACACAUGAAUGACAUCCCAAGUUGCAAUGGCUUCCUUUGCCUAUGUGAUAAGAAAUGGACGAAGUGUACAGUUUUAGGUAUCGUAAGCACACAGUGAAUGGGUUAUAAAGAACCUCGAGGGUAUGUAUCUUACAAUGGUGCAUGGGCAGUGAAGACAGACUGAAAUUGGGAUAGAGCUGUGCAAAGAACUGGAGAUGAAUGGUCUUAUACCUUGUACGACACAGUGCCUGAUCAGAAGCAAAAAUAUUUUUAGCAGACAAAUAAUAUGCCUACCCAAUGAUAUGUCAUCUAAUGCUAUGUAUGCAGGCAGUGAGAAUGAGGAUAAAACAUUUGAAAUGUUGAAUGUUUCUACCAGUAACAAACAGGUAACAAGCAUUAAAUUUUUACAUUAUCUCUUCCACGACUUGUAUUAACAAUUGCCCCCAUCUAUCUUGUAGAGAGUUUGGGUGUUCCGAAGCUUGGCAUUUCAAUUCCUCUGACACUGACAUGACAUUUUGGGGACACCAAAUUUUCCUUGACUAAGUGAACUGAUUCAGCAUGAUCCCUUGCAAGAGAUUAUUCCUGGCUGAUAUUUGUCAGAAGCUCGCUGAGACAUAUCUUCUAGAUGUUCUUUGUCAUGCUGGCAAGUAGCACAGUUUGUUUCCCACUAUCAGGUAUAGCUAUGCAUUCUGAGGAUGGGGAUCUAUGAUGACAAACCAAUGUUAUGAAGAGAGGUGAUUGUAGGAGUGAACCCCACAAAGCUAUCCGCCC